Molecule: transfer RNA, 82 nt
Filed under: Candidatus Woesearchaeota archaeon
Lineage: Archaea; Nanobdellati; Candidatus Woesearchaeota
Description: tRNA-Ser
Rfam family: tRNA
About the family: Transfer RNA (tRNA) molecules are approximately 80 nucleotides in length. Their secondary structure includes four short double-helical elements and three loops (D, anti-codon, and T loops).
Source: RNAcentral
GCCGGGAUCGCAUAAUCUGGUAUUGCACCGGAUUGCUAAUCCGGACCCUUUGGGUAUCUGGGUUCAAAUCCCAGUCCCGGCG